CAGAACCCCUAAAAAACGCGAUUGUUCUUCUUCUCCGAAUUUUGUUCAAAUCCGAGCGAGUGAAGCCCAAAUCCUAAUUCAUGCGUCCCUCCUUAUCUCAUCUCACCAUUUCUAACGAUUUCUGACACUAAAAAUGCUUCCUCCCUUCACUCUCUCAACUCAGAGAUUUAGCACGCGAUUGGAAGGUCCUAGAGACGAAUCGUUGGAUGAGGAUGAGUCAUUGGAUUGAAUUUGUUCAACCCUCCAUUCACUCUCUCAACUCAGAGAUUUAGCACGCGAUUGGAAGGUCCUAGAGACGAAUCGUUGGAUGAGGAUGAAUCGUUGGAUUGACUUCGUUCAAUCCAAGCCCUAUUUUCAUCAGGGGUUCGUUCUAUAAAGGACGGGAUCCGAUUUUGAGAAGGGGGUUUUUUUUGGAGAGAAGAAGAUCUGAAGGCAGAUUCAAGAGGAGUAAAAUUCUAGAGCUUAGUGUUCUUCACAUCUAUUAUUGCUUUUUUUCUUCAUUCGUAGUGUUAAUUCUAAAAAAACAUAUACAGAAAUGUUUAAAGUCCUGUGAAUCUAUUGUUGCUUGGUUCACUGUCCACCCGCUUCGAAAUACAUGAAUUAUGUCCUAAAAGUCAUUGGAAUUCGUUGUUGAUCGAGGCAUUGAUUUGUGGCUGCUGUUGCAUUGCAUCGAUUUCAAGUGUUGGGACUCCUUCACUUUUUUUUCAGGUUUACCUCUGCUUCUUCUAUUAUUUCUAUUGUGAAGUGAAUCCUAGAUGGCCCUGGACCGAUUGUUAAAAUGAAUUCAGUUGUGAUAAUAGAUGAGGCUUGUAUGGUUACCCUCGACUUCAUUUAUUGUUAUGCUUUCAACGUUUCCCAUGAAUUCAUGUGUAGUGAGUCAGUUUCUGAAUAGACGAGGAGUAACAUUUGUUUGGUUUCAUCAUCGUAUUCGUGUUUGUACUGACUUGUAUUAUCCUUCAGCUCGUACCUUCUUCGAAUUUGAUCCCUACUGAUGUUGCAAAUUUGGUAUAAGAUUGUUUUAGUAUCAUCCUUCAGCUCAUACCUGCUUCGAAUUUGAUCCCCUGCUAAUGUUGUAAAUUGGGUAGAUUGUAGCUUUAUAGUGCCAAGGUUGUUUCCUGUUGCAUCUGUUCAAAAAUAAGCUUUGACGAGAAUUCAUCGCCGUUGUUUGAUUCCUGAAUGAGUGUCUAAGUCGUCUUUGAAAUGCUGAGAAUUGAACACCAUCUUAUAACCCCCUAUUCUAACUGUCACCACCUCAUAUCUUAUUUUCUCUUUGUUAAUUUUGGUUUCAGUCGAGAUAGGCUGUUUAUUUGACCAAAUAUCAGUGGUUUCUCGCUAGGCGAUGAUCAUUCCUUAAUAAUUUGAACUUGAAGCUGUCCUAAUCUACUUUGUUGAUGAAAAUUUAAGCACGCUUCCUCGAGCUGGUUCUGCCUGUGUAUGUGUAGUCUAUUUUUUGUGCUGGAAAUCAUUUGAAUCAUUAGCUAUUCGAUCUAUCGUCGCCUUAACUUCGUGACCCUGGUGUUAAGUUUGGUGUUUGUAAAGCUGUUAGCUAAUAUUAUUCUCUGAGUUUCUUCCUCUUCAGUCUUAAUGAAGCUGUCUCAUGGCAUUACUUGCUUGCCUGCUGUUGUAGCUGGUGAUUUAUUCAUCAAUUAUCAACCCUCUCCAUCCUUCUGCCAUAGAACACAUACAGUGCAACUCUCAUUCUGUUAGUAAAGCCCCAUCGUCACCAUCUUCCUUCAUUCUCUCAGCGUAAAUUCAUGAAUGUGCUACCAAUCAAAAUGGAUCAAAUUGUGUCUCCAAAUCUAAAUCUCAUUCGGAGUUGUUGUUGUUGGUAUAUCGUGAUUAUGAUUUGAAAAAUCCCCUUUAAUUGUGAAAUUUGAAGCAUAUGUAGCAAACAAGGGUCAUUUCUCUUCUCUUAGUAUAUUUUCUGACAUGAACAGCUAGUGUAACUGUCUUCAAUAAGUUCUGCAGAUUCGUUUGGAUUGCUAUGUUUUAUCUGAUAAAUUUGGUGUUCCUAAUGUGUUGACUGGCAAGGUUUGUGAUGGUUUUAAUAUUGUUCCACUGGUUCAUUUGGCAUUUAUUAGAAUUGUUUGACUAGUAUCAAAAGUAAGAUCCAAUGUUGCUAUCUCACUAUUGUUCUGGCUCUACAUUAGUUAUAGUGGAUUAAUGACUAGUUGGACUGUAUGCCCAGUUUGGACCAUAAAUAGUUUAAUAAUUUUCAAAUGAAUAGGUAGUUUGGAUCGCCUAAUUGGAUUUCGGAUUUAUUGGUAUAGCAUGAGCCAAAUAUUGGGCUCACUUGGUAAGAACCAAGUUAAUUCAAGACCCCACUUAAUUAAUUUUAACCCUUAUAAAUUGAGGUGAGCCAUAUUGGGUAAUAUAAAUAGUUUAUGGCCCUCAUGAAUUAGUUGAAUACCUUUACUUUUAGAAUUGAGGUGCGCCGUGCCAAACAAAAAAUAAUCAUUGCGGGGCCCUCGCUUUAUUAAAUCUCGAAUUGAUCUUUAGAUUCUGAGGCAUGCCAUUUGGUAAAUUUCAUGGGCCUCGCAAAGUUGCGAACGUACAAUUGCUUUAGGCGCGUUAGUUUAAUAAUCUACCUUUCCUAAAUUGGGGUGCGCAUUUAUGUGACCCAAAUACAAAUCUCAAUGAAGUUGGAGUGUGUCAAAAUCCAUGUGUGCAUUUAUGUGACUUGGUUUGAGGCAUAUUUUAACGACGUUGUAAUUCUCUUUAAAAUAAUGAUAAAAGCGGUUUAAAGUCAAAUGUCAUAAGUUAAAACAGUUUUAAAAUCAGAUAAUUUAAGCCAAGUAUGACAAUUGAGUGACCGAGCUAGAACCACGGAACUUGGGAAUGCCUAACACCUUCUCUCGGGUUAACAGAUUUUCUUACUCGGAUUUCUAGUUCGCGGGCUGUUAAACAUAGUCACUCUUUCCUCGAUUCGGGAUUCUAAUUGGUGACUCGGGACACCAUAAAUCUCCCGGGCGGCGACUCUGAAAUUAUUUAAAAUAAUUGAAUCCCGUUUCGAUUGUCCUUUAAUUGGAAAAACUUCCUUAUCUACGUCCUUCGCCGGGUUGUGGAUAUCCAAAAGAAGGUGUGACAGCUCUGGCGAUUCUGCUGGGAAAAUUUUUCCUCUAGAAUCUCUGGUUCAGGGUUCAAGAAUUCGAGCUUAGAAUCAUUGUUGUAUUUGGCUUUGUUCAUUAUUUGAUUUUACAUGUUGACUUAAUGUGCAAAAUGAUGCUUUAACCGCUUUGAUAUUAUUUGAAUUGUACAUAAACUGUUACGAAACCCUUCUCUCUUUAUCCCCGGGGAUGUGCUCGCUGGUCGAGACUCCCUAUUCUGUUAUUGUCAUGCCUUAAAAUAAGAAAGAUGCUCGGACAAGUUAUAAAGCCGGACGAUCUUGCGGGUCCCCGGUACGUAGCCCCCUCCCCGACUCAAGUUAUCCUCUCGGGUACACAGUCUAGAAAACAUACCCAGGCUUAAACGUAGAAUAACAAAACCUCAUGUCGGAUCCCUAGUAGGAACGCUUAUCUGCAUCAUACAUUUGACUUAGGGGACUCAACAUAAUGGUUAGGUCUGCUAGGACAGGUGUACCCAAAAUAACGGACCAUCUUGGUGCAUCAUAUGUGCCACAUGUUGCAUUCAUUCAAGGGCAGAAAGGUCAUUUGACGGACCAAUGAUAGCUGAGGGUAAAUGAAAAAAAAAAGAGAAAAAUAAUGAAAAGAAAAGAGGGUGAAGGGUGAAAAUAAAGCAAGCAGGAUUUAGUUAUGUUUUUGUUAUAUUUUUAUUAAAAAGGAGACAAAGGAUAUGUGAAAAAUUCAAAAAAAAAAGAGAAUAUUUCGCACUUUUUAUUAUUUCCUGAAAAUAAAAAAAGAAGAAGAGAAAAUCCAAAAAUAGUUUACAUAUUUCAUCGUUUUUCAAAAAGAGACAAAAGAAAAUAUUUUCUUUACAAAAUUAGUUGUUUUUUUAUUAUUUCUUGCCCGUAUCCAAUUUACCGGAACUACGCAAACCUGAUUCUCGUCUUUCGAGGCGUGAUACGUAGACAACCCACAUAAGGUUCGAUUUUCCUUGUAAAUCUUUGAUUCUUGGCUUUGCAGGGUCAUAACCAGAUUUUGCACUUCUAGCUACUUUUAGCUACAUAGGUUAGUUUUAGAAUUCAGAAGUUGCUUGUUGGAAGUUGUGUGAAUUGAGUUGUGUCAAUGGACUCUACUGUUGAAAUUCUUAGAGUUCAAGUUGGAAUUCUCUUGUCAAACAUCUUUUAUGCCGGCGAAAGUUCUGUUGAGAUCAGUCUUUGUUUGUUGGAGUAUUGUUUGGUAAUUUUAAUUCAAACUUCUUUUAUGCUGGCGAAGGUUCUGUUGAGAUCAGUCUUUGUUUGCUGGAGCAUUGUUUGGUGAUUUUAAUUCAAUCUAUGAACUUUUUGUGGGUCAAUUUUUGAAAGAAAAUCCUGCAUUAAAUACCAAUUCUUUUUGUGCUAAGACUAUGGAGUUUUGAAACUUGUCUUGUUGAAGUUUGCCAGUUUUGUGAAGUUUUUGGAGUAAAUUGAUAGAUGAAAUUCUCCUAGUUUGAACUUGUUACCACUGGUUUCUUAUAGCUGUUAUUAGUGUUGAGUUUAAUAGAGGAGAUUCAGUUGGACUAGAGAUUGAGCAGCUUGAAUUGUUAUUUGGUUGAGCAUACAGUAAGCUUACUCUGCCAAAAUUUUGUGUCCAUUGAGAUUGGUGUCAAGUUAAGGCAGUGAUAGUUUGAAAUCUUGUUUUUACUUAUAAAAAGUUCUCUUUGUUGAAUUGAAUGCUCUUGUUACAUAAACUAUUGCCCAGUUGGUUAGAACGUGCUGACAGAAGUUGUAUGUUUGCUGGAAAAUAAUUUGCUGCUUGUUUUCUGUUGCUGUAAAGGAAUUCAUACUUGCUGUUCACAGCCCUGCAUUGUUCAUUUUUCGCUCAACAAUGAAAAUUUCUGCACUUCAUUAAUUUUUUUGUUGUUGUAAAGGAUUUCAUACUUACUGUUCACAGCCCUCAUUGUUCAUUUUUGCUCAACAAUGAAGAUUUUCACAUUUCUUUAAUUGAUUGUUGUUACUAUAGUUUUUCUAAACAGUUGAGAGAAUUUUGCAAAAGUUUUAGCUUCAGUUAACUCAACUGCGUUGCUUCAGUUUAUAUGCCAACAAUACACUAUUGACAUUCAAGUUUUGAGCUGUUUUUUUAAAGUAGAUCCCGUACUAUUCAACUAUACUUUGUGGUUAUUCUAACUCAAUAUUACUGUGAUUCUAAUGCUUUGUGUCUACAGUUGAGGUCAUCAUUCCGGGCUGAAAAUUUUUGUUCCUAUUGCGAUCCCGUACUAUUCAGCUAUACUUUGUGGUUAUUCUGACUCAAUAUUACUGUGAUUCUAAUUAUUUGUUUCUACAGUUGAGGUCGUCAUUCUGGUCUGAAUGUUUCUGUGCCUAUUGUUGCUGAAUUUAAUGCUCAAGGUGUUGCUGAAGUUUGAGUUUUGAGAAGCAAUUGAAUAGCGAACCUGCGAGUUUAUUUGAAUUGUAGAAUUUUGCAUUUAAAUGAAAGUUGUUGAUGUAAUACAAGUUUCCUACGCAUUAUUUGUAUUUUUCUACAAUAUUUUAUAAACCUGAAACUGGGUGUGGACGUUAGAACUUGUUUGAAAAAUUUUGAACUCGAAUAAGAGUGUUUUGAACUGUUAUUGAAGGUUGUUGAAACAACCUUGAAAAUGUGCACUUUUUGUACUAGUUGGGUAGUGAGUGCAAGUUGAUUUUUCUGCA
RNAcentral lists this long non-coding RNA (5743 nucleotides) under Nicotiana benthamiana. RNAcentral describes it as "long non-coding RNA (NBEN_LNC010165)". Lineage: Eukaryota; Viridiplantae; Streptophyta; Magnoliopsida; Solanales; Solanaceae. The record is from RNAcentral.